This 253-nucleotide ribosomal RNA is filed under the name uncultured prokaryote. RNAcentral's name for it is "partial 16S ribosomal RNA". It matches the Rfam family "Bacterial small subunit ribosomal RNA", at positions 524 to 776 of the family's 1533-position model. The record is from RNAcentral.
UACGUAGGGGGCAAGCGUUAUCCGGAUUUACUGGGUGUAAAGGGAGCGUAGGUGGCAUGGCAAGUCAGAAGUGAAAGCCCAGGGCUCAACCCUGGGACUGCUUUUGAAACUGUCAAGCUAGAGUGCAGGAGAGGUAAGUGGAAUUCCUAGUGUAGCGGUGAAAUGCGUAGAUAUUAGGAGGAACACCAGUGGCGAAGGCGGCUUACUGGACUGUAACUGACACUGAGGCUCGAAAGCGUGGGGAGCAAACAGG